CUCAGGAUGAACGCUAGCUACAGGCUUAACACAUGCAAGUCGAGGGGCAGCAUGGUCUUAGCUUGCUAAGGCCGAUGGCGACCGGCGCACGGGUGAGUAACACGUAUCCAACCUGCCGUCUACUCUUGGACAGCCUUCUGAAAGGAAGAUUAAUACAAGAUGGCAUCAUGAGUCCGCAUGUUCACAUGAUUAAAGGUAUUCCGGUAGACGAUGGGGAUGCGUUCCAUUAGAUAGUAGGCGGGGUAACGGCCCACCUAGUCUUCGAUGGAUAGGGGUUCUGAGAGGAAGGUCCCCCACAUUGGAACUGAGACACGGUCCAAACUCCUACGGGAGGCAGCAGUGAGGAAUAUUGGUCAAUGGGCGAGAGCCUGAACCAGCCAAGUAGCGUGAAGGAUGACUGCCCUAUGGGUUGUAAACUUCUUUUAUAAAGGAAUAAAGUCGGGUAUGGAUACCCGUUUGCAUGUACUUUAUGAAUAAGGAUCGGCUAACUCCGUGCCAGCAGCCGCGGUAAUACGGAGGAUCCGAGCGUUAUCCGGAUUUAUUGGGUUUAAAGGGAGCGUAGAUGGAUGUUUAAGUCAGUUGUGAAAGUUUGCGGCUCAACCGUAAAAUUGCAGUUGAUACUGGAUAUCUUGAGUGCAGUUGAGGCAGGCGGAAUUCGUGGUGUAGCGGUGAAAUGCUUAGAUAUCACGAAGAACUCCGAUUGCGAAGGCAGCCUGCUAAGCUGCAACUGACAUUGAGGCUCGAAAGUGUGGGUAUCAAACAGGAUUAGAUACCCUGGUAGUCCACACGGUAAACGAUGAAUACUCGCUGUUUGCGAUAUACUGCAAGCGGCCAAGCGAAAGCGUUAAGUAUUCCACCUGGGGAGUACGCCGGCAACGGUGAAACUCAAAGGAAUUGACGGGGGCCCGCACAAGCGGAGGAACAUGUGGUUUAAUUCGAUGAUACGCGAGGAACCUUACCCGGGCUUAAAUUGCAGAUGAAUUACGGUGAAAGCCGUAAGCCGCAAGGCAUCUGUGAAGGUGCUGCAUGGUUGUCGUCAGCUCGUGCCGUGAGGUGUCGGCUUAAGUGCCAUAACGAGCGCAACCCUUGUUGUCAGUUACUAACAGGUUCCGCUGAGGACUCUGACAAGACUGCCAUCGUAAGAUGUGAGGAAGGUGGGGAUGACGUCAAAUCAGCACGGCCCUUACGUCCGGGGCUACACACGUGUUACAAUGGGGGGUACAGAGGGCCGCUACCACGCGAGUGGAUGCCAAUCCCCAAAACCUCUCUCAGUUCGGACUGGAGUCUGCAACCCGACUCCACGAAGCUGGAUUCGCUAGUAAUCGCGCAUCAGCCACGGCGCGGUGAAUACGUUCCCGGGCCUUGUACACACCGCCCGUCAAGCCAUGGGAGCCGGGGGUACCUGAAGUGCGUAACCGCGAGGAGCGCCCUAGGGUAAAACUGGUGACUGGGGCUAAGUCGUA
This 1463-nucleotide ribosomal RNA is filed under the name uncultured bacterium. Its description in RNAcentral is "bacterial SSU rRNA". It matches the Rfam family "Bacterial small subunit ribosomal RNA". The record is from RNAcentral.